This 1704-nucleotide ribosomal RNA is filed under the name Escherichia coli. RNAcentral's name for it is "bacterial SSU rRNA". It matches the Rfam family "Bacterial small subunit ribosomal RNA". Lineage: Bacteria; Pseudomonadati; Pseudomonadota; Gammaproteobacteria; Enterobacterales; Enterobacteriaceae. The record is from RNAcentral.
AAAUUGAAGAGUUUGAUCAUGGCUCAGAUUGAACGCUGGCGGCAGGCCUAACACAUGCAAGUCGAACGGUAACAGGAAGAAGCUUGCUUCUUUGCUGACGAGUGGCGGACGGGUGAGUAAUGUCUGGGAAACUGCCUGAUGGAGGGGGAUAACUACUGGAAACGGUAGCUAAUACCGCAUAACGUCGCAGGGCAGGCCUAACACAUGCAAGUCGAACGGUAACAGGAAGAAGCUUGCUUCUUUGCUGACGAGUGGCGGACGGGUGAGUAAUGUCUGGGAAACUGCCUGAUGGAGGGGGAUAACUACUGGAAACGGUAGCUAAUACCGCAUAACGUCGCAAGACCAAAGAGGGGGACCUUCGGGCCUCUUGCCAUCGGAUGUGCCCAGAUGGGAUUAGCUWGUWGGUGGGGUAACGGCUCACCWAGGCGACGAUCCCUAGCUGGUCUGAGAGGAUGACCAGCCACACUGGAACUGAGACACGGUCCAGACUCCUACGGGAGGCAGCAGUGGGGAAUAUUGCACAAUGGGCGCAAGCCUGAUGCAGCCAUGCCGCGUGUAUGAAGAAGGCCUUCGGGUUGUAAAGUACUUUCAGCGGGGAGGAAGGGAGUAAAGUUAAUACCUUUGCUCAUUGACGUUACCCGCAGAAGAAGCACCGGCUAACUCCGUGCCAGCAGCCGCGGUAAUACGGAGGGUGCAAGCGUUAAUCGGAAUUACUGGGCGUAAAGCGCACGCAGGCGGUUUGUUAAGUCAGAUGUGAAAUCCCCGGGCUCAACCUGGGAACUGCAUCUGAUACUGGCAAGCUUGAGUCUCGUAGAGGGGGGUAGAAUUCCAGGUGUAGCGGUGAAAUGCGUAGAGAUCUGGAGGAAUACCGGUGGCGAAGGCGGCCCCCUGGACGAAGACUGACGCUCAGGUGCGAAAGCGUGGGGAGCAAACAGGAUUAGAUACCCUGGUAGUCCACGCCGUAAACGAUGUCGACUUGGAGGUUGUGCCCUUGAGGCGUGGCUUCCGGAGCUAACGCGUUAAGUCGACCGCCUGGGGAGUACGGCCGCAAGGUUAAAACUCAAAUGAAUUGACGGGGGCCCGCACAAGCGGUGGAGCAUGUGGUUUAAUUCGAUGCAACGCGAAGAACCUUACCUGGUCUUGACAUCCACGGAAGUUUUCAGAGAUGAGAAUGUGCCUUCGGGAACCGUGAGACAGGUGCUGCAUGGCUGUCGUCAGCUCGUGUUGUGAAAUGUUGGGUUAAGUCCCGCAACGAGCGCAACCCUUAUCCUUUGUUGCCAGCGGUCCGGCCGGGAACUCAAAGGAGACUGCCAGUGAUAAACUGGAGGAAGGUGGGGAUGACGUCAAGUCAUCAUGGCCCUUACGACCAGGGCUACACACGUGCUACAAUGGCGCAUACAAAGAGAAGCGACCUCGCGAGAGCAAGCGGACCUCAUAAAGUGCGUCGUAGUCCGGAUUGGAGUCUGCAACUCGACUCCAUGAAGUCGGAAUCGCUAGUAAUCGUGGAUCAGAAUGCCACGGUGAAUACGUUCCCGGGCCUUGUACACACCGCCCGUCACACCAUGGGAGUGGGUUGCAAAAGAAGUAGGUAGCUUAACCUUCGGGAGGGCGCUUACCACUUUGUGAUUCAUGACUGGGGUGAAGUCGUAACAAGGUAACCGUAGGGGAACCUGCGGUUGGAUCACCUCCUUACCUUAAAGAAGC